GAGAGUUUGAUUCUGGCUCAGGAUGAACGCUGGCGGCGUGCCUAACACAUGCAAGUCGAGCGAUCUUCUUCGGAAGAGAGCGGCGGACGGGUGAGUAACGCGUGGGUAACCUGCCUCAUACACAUGGAUAACAUACCGAAAGGUAUGCUAAUACAAGAUGAUAUAAGAGAUUCGCAUGGAUUUCUUAUCAAAGCUUUUGCGGUAUGAGAUGGACCCGCGUCUGAUUAGCUAGUUGGUAAGGUAACGGCUUACCAAGGCGACGAUCAGUAGCCGACCUGAGAGGUUGAACGGCCACAUUGGGACUGAGACACGGCCCAGACUCCUACGGGAGGCAGCAGUGGGGAAUAUUGCGCAAUGGGGGAAACCCUGACGCAGCAACGCCGCGUUGAAGAAGUCUUCGGAUUGUAAAAAUCUUUUAUCAAGGACGAAGAUAGUGACGUACUUGAUGAAUAAGCUCCGGCUAACUACGUUGCCCACAGCCGCGGUAAUACGUUAGGAGCAAGCGU
This 506-nucleotide ribosomal RNA is filed under the name uncultured swine feces bacterium F5. RNAcentral describes it as "bacterial SSU rRNA". It matches the Rfam family "Bacterial small subunit ribosomal RNA", at positions 7 to 541 of the family's 1533-position model. The record is from RNAcentral.